UACGGAGGAUGCGAGCGUUAUCCGGAUUUAUUGGGUUUAAAAGGUGCGUAGGCGGACUGUCAAGUCAGCGGUAAAAUUGAGAGGCUCAACCUCUUCCCGCCGUUGAAACUGGUGGUCUUGAGUGGAUGAGAAGUACGCGGAAUGCGUGGUGUAGCGGUGAAAUGCAUAGAUAUCACGCAGAACUCCGAUUGCGAAGGCAGCGUACCGGCAUCCAACUGACGCUGAGGCACGAAAGCGUGGGGAUCAAACAGG
This 252-nucleotide ribosomal RNA is filed under the name uncultured bacterium. Its description in RNAcentral is "partial 16S ribosomal RNA". It matches the Rfam family "Bacterial small subunit ribosomal RNA", at positions 524 to 776 of the family's 1533-position model. The record is from RNAcentral.